Molecule: ribosomal RNA, 253 nt
Filed under: uncultured bacterium
Lineage: Bacteria
Description: partial 16S ribosomal RNA
Rfam family: Bacterial small subunit ribosomal RNA
Source: RNAcentral
UACGUAGGGUGCAAGCGUUGUCCGGAAUUAUUGGGCGUAAAGAGCUCGUAGGCGGUCUGUCGCGUCGAAUGUGAAAACCCGGGGCUCAACCCCGGGCCUGCAUUCGAUACGGGCAGACUAGAGUUCGGUAGGGGAGUCUGGAAUUCCUGGUGUAGCGGUGAAAUGCGCAGAUAUCAGGAGGAACACCGGUGGCGAAGGCGGGUCUCUGGGCCGAUACUGACGCUGAGGAGCGAAAGCAUGGGUAGCGAACAGG